CCCACAAAACAUGGUAUUUUCAUUGGAAAGGGAUUUUCAGAACAUUAAGAUACAGUUUUGUCCAAUCACUAGGGAUAUUUACUUUCUCCAGGGACUCUUGUUCCUGUAAAAACACAAUAAUGAAAAAAUCCAUACAGCAUAUACAAAUGUAUAAAUGGUGAAAAUAGUGAAAAAUAGUUUCCUUGUUUUUUGAGGUUGCUUUUUUUUUCUUUUUUUUUUUUUUUGUUUAGAUACAUCAAAAUAUAGAUCUAGCACCAUUAAUUUGAAUAGUUCCAGAUUAUGUUUAUUUGCUUCAUUUUGUUAUAAAAAAUGUUUUCCUCUGUGUUCAUAUAAUACUUUUCCCAACAGCUUCAGAAAGUUUUACCUUAAAGUGAAAUGGAAAUACGUUUCCACUUGUGUAUAAAAUCCUUACAUUUAUAUAAACUUCAUGCUGUUGAAUUUAGCUUUGUCCUAAGGUGAAAAACUCCAAUUUGUUGUGAAGUCAUCAGGAAGUUACAUAUAUCCAAAUGCCUGAUUUUAACUACUGAGUGUAAUAAAUUUCCUAUUAUUUAUACAUGGAAUUACAGCAAUAAAUAGCUGAUUUCAAAGAGAAUUAUAGUAUAAAUUUCAGCUAGCUUGUGCUUGGAAAGUAUCUAAAGGUUGUAGAAUAAUUUUUCUACAUAGAUUGUUGAUAAAAGUUAGGGAGGUAUAAAGUACUAAGAUUUCAUUCAUAAUGUUCAAGAUCAGAUUGUCUUCUCGAGAAACAAAUCUUAAUUUUCAAAGCUAUGCUAUUAAAAUGUCUUCCUAUUUUGUCACUGUUUACUGCUGAGAUUUCAAUGGAUCUAUAACCUGUGUUCUUUAUUUGCUUUCUCUGGAUGACAAGAGGACAAACUGUACAGCUGGAGAUUACUCAGCAUCUUGCAACACUUCAUUUAGAAACAUAUCUUACAGCAUCGUUUAGAGACAUUUUUAUGUAGAUAAUAUAAGAAGACAUAUAACCAAUGAUCACAUGAAAAAAAAUAUUGGCAGACAAGGACAUUAUGAAAAACUGAUGUUGGAACAACCAAGAUACUGUUUAUUCUGAGCCUAACUAAGUGAUAUGAGAAUUUGAGAAGUUCUGAAAAGCACAGCAAAUAGAC
Molecule: long non-coding RNA, 1118 nt
Organism: Gallus gallus (chicken)
Lineage: Eukaryota; Metazoa; Chordata; Aves; Galliformes; Phasianidae
Source: Ensembl